This 783-nucleotide ribosomal RNA is filed under the name uncultured Dechloromonas sp. RNAcentral describes it as "bacterial SSU rRNA". It matches the Rfam family "Bacterial small subunit ribosomal RNA", at positions 1 to 721 of the family's 1533-position model. The record is from RNAcentral. Lineage: Bacteria; Pseudomonadati; Pseudomonadota; Betaproteobacteria; Rhodocyclales; Azonexaceae.
CGAUGGGCCGACGUCGCAUGCUCCGGCCGCCAUGGCGGCCGCGGGAAUCGAUUAGAGUUUGAUCAUGGCUCAGAACGAACGCUGGCGGCGUGCCUAACACAUGCAAGUCGAACGCGAAAGUCCUUCGGGAUGAGUAAAGUGGCGCACGGGUGAGUAACACGUAGGUGACCUGCCUUUUAGAGGGGAAUAACCAGAUGAAAUUUGGCUAAUGCCGCAUACGAAGUACAAAUCUAAAAGUAGUACUUGAAAGGAUGCCUCUGUAUAUGCAUCCACUAAAAGAUGGGCCUGCGGAACAUUAGCUAGUUGGUGGGGUAAAGGCCUACCAAGGCAACGAUGUUUAUCCGGUCUGAGAGGAUGAUCGGACACACUGGAACUGAGACACGGUCCAGACUCCUACGGGAGGCAGCAGUGGGGAAUAUUGCGCAAUGGGGGAAACCCUGACGCAGCAACGCCGCGUGAGUGAAGAAGGCCUUCGGGUUGUAAAGCUCUUUCGGCCGGGAAGAAAACGUAUGGGUUAAUACCCUGUGCGGAUGACGGUACCGGCAUAAGAAGCACCGGCUAACUACGUGCCAGCAGCCGCGGUAAUACGUAGGGUGCGAGCGUUAAUCGGAAUUACUGGGCGUAAAGCGUGCGCAGGCGGUUUUUUAAGACAGGCGUGAAAUCCCCGGGCUCAACCUGGGAACUGCAUUUGAGACUGCAAGGCUAGAGUGUGGCAGAGGGGGGUAGAAUUCCACGUGUAGCAUUGAAAUGCGUAGAGAUGUGGAGGAAUACCGAUGGCGGAAG